AGCGUUGCUCGGAAUCACUGGGCGUAAAGGGCGCGUAGGCGGCCUGAUAAGUCGGGGGGGAAAGCCUGUGGCUCAACCACAGAAUUGCCUUCGAUACUGUUAGGCUUGAGACCGGAAGAGGUAAGUGGAACUGCGAGUGUAGAGGUGAAAUUCGUAGAUAUUCGCAAGAACACCAGUGGCGAAGGCGGCUUACUGGUCCGGAUCUGACGCUGAGGCGCGAAAGCGUGGGGAGCAAACAGG
Molecule: ribosomal RNA, 240 nt
Filed under: uncultured bacterium
Lineage: Bacteria
Description: partial 16S ribosomal RNA
Rfam family: Bacterial small subunit ribosomal RNA
Source: RNAcentral